RNAcentral lists this ribosomal RNA (461 nucleotides) under uncultured bacterium. Its description in RNAcentral is "bacterial SSU rRNA". It matches the Rfam family "Bacterial small subunit ribosomal RNA", at positions 398 to 861 of the family's 1533-position model. The record is from RNAcentral.
CGCGUGCAGGAAGACGGCCUCUGGGUUGUAAACUGCUUUUAUCUGGGAAGAAAAAGUCCAUGCGUGGAAAAUUGCCGGUACCAGAUGAAUAAGCACCGGCUAACUCCGUGCCAGCAGCCGCGGUAAUACGGAGGGUGCAAGCGUUGUCCGGAUUUAUUGGGUUUAAAGGGUGCGUAGGCGGCUGAAUAAGUCAGCGGUGAAAGACUUCGGCUUAACCGGAGCAGUGCCGUUGAUACUGUUUAGCUUGAGUGUUGGAGGGGUACAUGGAAUUGAUGGUGUAGCGGUGAAAUGCAUAGAUACCAUCAGGAACACCGAUAGCGAAGGCAUUGUACUGGCCAAUAACUGACGCUGAGGCACGAAAGUGUGGGGAUCGAACAGGAUUAGAUACCCUGGUAGUCCACACUGUAAACGAUGAUUACUCGCUGUUAUGCUGUAUAGUGUAGCGGCCAAGCGAAAGCGUU